GCUUACGGCCACACCACCCUGAGCGCGCCCGAUCUCGUCUGAUCUCGGAAGCUAAGCAGGGUCGGGCCUGGUUAGUACUUGGAUGGGAGACCGCCUGGGAAUACCAGGUGCCGGUAAGCU
Molecule: ribosomal RNA, 120 nt
Filed under: Lates calcarifer (barramundi perch)
Lineage: Eukaryota; Metazoa; Chordata; Actinopteri; Centropomidae
Source: RNAcentral